This is a non-coding RNA of Epinephelus lanceolatus (giant grouper), 2017 nucleotides long. Lineage: Eukaryota; Metazoa; Chordata; Actinopteri; Perciformes; Serranidae. The record is from RefSeq and is a predicted model, not a curated record.
AGGAGAGGGCGUGCUACGGCGGUAUCUCCAAGGCGCUUUAACAUGUUUUAUUAUCAUUUUAUUGACAUGUAGAGUCAGUCUGAGCAGGAGGAAGGGAGUGAUUUGGCACAGGGGGUGCAGAUCGCUCGGCUGAGGCCUGUAUAAAAUCUUUAUUUCUUCCAUUUGUGCAUGAUACAGCGCGAUGGUAUGACUGUAAAGGGGAUGGGGCGGGUGUGUCUUUACCGAAGCAAACGUUUGGGCGUUAAUGUAAAUCCAGCAGGGGAAGGAGUUGGGUCUAUAUUACUGUAAGUCUGCUCGACUUGUCAAAGAAUACCGAGAAGUCAUUCCUCACUCUCGCGGAUGCGUUUGCGCCACAAUAACUCAGUCAUAAUUGAGUGCACGGGCACACUGACCCUGUAUAUUCUCAUUAAGAUAAGCUUUAACUCGAGAGGAGCGCAGAUAGAGUGAAUUCCUCAAGGCCCCACCCUUUGUAGCGCAACAUGGAUGUGGAGAGUUGCCCCCACCUUCUCCUCCUCCUCCUCCUCCUCCUCCUCCUCUCUGUCUCUCCCUCCGCGUCAUUCAUUUCCCCUUUCAAGCUUGUCUUAUGCUGUUUUUCCCCCCUCACUGUCUCCAGGUGCCUUCAGUAGAUCUGCUUGUCUUUUAACCAACUUUAGAUCAUGGCAUGGGGAUCUACUUCCAGGAAAUCUACAGGAGGUGUUAAUUGGUGGAGAUGUGCCACGCCUGUGCCACUAGACCUGGGUGGCCUGUACCUGUGCCUGCGCCAGCUGCUGUGCCAGCUGUGCAGGGUGAGCAAGCAGAACAGCAUCACAGAAAGAGACGAACAGACAGCUGCUGCAGAUGAAGAGACGGAGGAGCAGCAUCAAAGGAGCGCCGAGUCAACCUACAUGCCAUCAAUCAUAAUAUAUUUAUUAGCUUGGUUAUUUUGCAGCUUAUUAUCACGUCGCAAGCAUUUAAAUUUGGAAUUGAGGCUGUGUAAUUUGUUCUGCAGUCAUACGCUGAAGAUUUGUCUUACAGCUACUGAAAUUGUGUUUUGUCUUUAUCCAUUUUCAGCUUUUGUGACUCCUGAUUUUAGCUUAAUUUUUGAUCAAUAAAACAACUAAUCAUGAUCCUUUAACACAACAUUAAGAGUCCUGGAUCACCCUUCUAAAACUCUACAUUAAAGUAAGAGAAGGCAAAAGUCUACAAACAAUACACUGGCAAACAGUAAAUUUGAAUACUGUAUAUGUGCUCAUCUUGCCUUCGACGAGGAGUUCAGUUGUCUGGGGCUGAACUCCAGCACAUUAGUGUUCCAGGCUCCAGGCUUAUGGACUUAGCAAACACACUUCCUGUUGGAGACGUACAUUAUACAGCCAGGCGGAACAUAAACAAUAAUCUUCUUAAGGUGUGAGCUCUGUGAGCAGUAAUAGCAAGCCCUUACGAUAAAGCAAUUUACUGUAUCUAAAGAUGACAUUGCGACUAGUAAUGGGGGGGAUUGUAGUGCUUUUGCUCAAUCAAUUGGCACUUAACAUGGACUACAAUUAUCGCGAUAUUUUGUUGACUUUGGUUAAGAUUAAUUUCUGUCUACCUGCACGGAUACCAUACUGACCCUGCAUUCACGUGGGGUCGGAAUAAUUUGAAAAAAUUAGUUCCUGACUGGGAGAAUUUACGUUAACGCCCUGUCAAGUCAGAACAACUCAGAAAGUUGUGGAAAAUUUUCAUACAUGAGUUGAGAUAAAAGAUGAAAGUAAAUGUUGAGUUGAUGUUAAACUUAUUAUUAAUUCACAAACUGCAUGCAAUUUUUUGUUCAUGUAAUUUAUAAUAUGGUAUUAGCUUGUAAUUGUUAGUUGCUGUGCACAUAGAGUGACCUAAUUUCGUUAGAAAAGUUAUUUAUUAGCAUUAGUCAGAUAAAGCAAUAUUUGAGUAGUUUUAGAGGAUGUGCUGGUGUAGCAGAAGGUCUGGGACAAAAUUACUGUGUAAUAUAAAGCUUCAAAAUGUUAUUGUUUUUAAAUGAUUUGCAAUAAAAAAAACAGCACUUCUU